CCCUUAGAUGUUCUGGGCCGCACGCGCGCUACACUGACGAAUGCAACGAGCUUAUAACCUUGGCCGAAAGGUCUGGGUAAUCUCCAAAUUUCGUCGUGAUGGGGAUAGAUUAUUGCAAUUAUUAAUCUUCAACGGGGAAUGCCUAGUAAGCGCAAGUCAUCAGCUUGCGUUGAUUACGUCCCUGCCCUUUGUACACACCGCCCGUCGCUCCUACCGAUUGAAUGGUCCGGUGAAGCGUUCGGACCGUGGCCUUUGGACGGUUCGCCGUCUGUUGGCUGCGGGAAGUUCGUUAAACCUUAUCAUUUAGAGGAAGGAGAANUCGUANCA
Molecule: ribosomal RNA, 327 nt
Filed under: uncultured eukaryote
Lineage: Eukaryota
Description: partial 18S ribosomal RNA
Rfam family: Eukaryotic small subunit ribosomal RNA
Source: RNAcentral